RNAcentral lists this ribosomal RNA (484 nucleotides) under uncultured bacterium. RNAcentral describes it as "partial 16S ribosomal RNA". It matches the Rfam family "Bacterial small subunit ribosomal RNA", at positions 28 to 523 of the family's 1533-position model. The record is from RNAcentral.
GACGAACGCUGGCGGCGUGCUUAACACAUGCAAGUCGAACGAUGAAGCCGGAGCUUGCCCUGGUGAAUUAGUGGCGAACGGGUGAGUAACACGUGAGUAACCUGCCCUUGACUCUGGGAUAACUGCUAGAAAUGGUAGCUAAUACCGGAUACGACCCUCGGCGGCAUCGCCAGGGGGUGGAAAGAAUUUCGGUCAAGGAUGGACUCGCGGCCUAUCAGCUAGUUGGUGAGGUAACGGCUCACCAAGGCGACGACGGGUAGCCGGCCUGAGAGGGUGACCGGCCACACUGGGACUGAGACACGGCCCAGACUCCUACGGGAGGCAGCAGUGGGGAACAUUGCACAAUGGGCGCAAGCCUGACGCAGCAACGCCGCGUGAGGGAUGACGGCCUUCGGGUUGUAAACCUCUUUUAGUAGGGAAGGAGCGAAAGUGACGGUACCUGCAGAAAAAGCACCGGCUAACUACGUGCCAGCAGCCGCGGUAA